GAUGAAGAACGCAGCGAAAUGCGAUACGUAAUGUGAAUUGCAGAAUUCAGUGAAUCAUCGAGUCUUUGAACGCACAUUGCGCCCCCUGGUAUUCCGGGGGGCAUGCCUGUCCGAGCGUCAUUGCUGCCCUCAAGCCCGGCUUGUGUGUUGGGUCUCGUCCCCCUUCCCGGGGGGACGGGCCCGAAAGGCAGCGGCGGCACCGCGUCCGGUCCUCGAGCGUAUGGGGCUUUGUCACCCGCUCUGUAGGCCCGGCCGGCGCUUGCCGAUCAACCAAAACUUUUUUCCAGGUUGACCUCGGAUCAGGUAGGGAUACCCGCUGAACUUAAGCAUAUCAAUAAGCGGAAGA
Molecule: unclassified non-coding RNA, 346 nt
Filed under: soil metagenome
Description: partial contains 5.8S ribosomal RNA, internal transcribed spacer 2, and large subunit ribosomal RNA
Rfam family: 5.8S ribosomal RNA (bases 1-120)
Source: RNAcentral